GGGCUUGUACUGGUUUCGACGGGGGUUUUGAAGUCGGGGAAGCCAUCCGUGGCCCGGACCACGUUAAAACCGAAACCUUUAAAAUUAAACGCUAACGAUAAUACAUUAGCAGUCGCCGCCUGAUUGCCGCGACCGUCGGCCCGGUUGUCCCCGUACUCCCGGUAACCGGCGUUAUGAUUACGGGAAACGAUACAUGCAAAGCUUUGCGCAUGCAGGCGUAAUAUGAAGCUACCAAAGCCGCGAGGACGCCCCUCGCCGCACGGCUGAGGGAAUGUAAAAGGAGAGGCUGUGAUGGGAGAAACUCCGAGGGAUAGAUUUUCGGACGCGGGUUCGAUUCCCGCCAGGUCCAU
RNAcentral lists this transfer-messenger RNA (350 nucleotides) under bovine gut metagenome. It matches the Rfam family "transfer-messenger RNA". Rfam says of the family: Bacterial tmRNA, also known as 10Sa RNA or SsrA, is named for its dual tRNA and mRNA-like properties. Its role is to liberate the mRNA from a stalled ribosome. To accomplish this part of the tmRNA is used as a reading frame that ends in a translation stop signal. The record is from RNAcentral.